Quercus lobata is the source of this 1051-nucleotide long non-coding RNA. RefSeq lists it as uncharacterized. The record is from RefSeq and is a predicted model, not a curated record. Lineage: Eukaryota; Viridiplantae; Streptophyta; Magnoliopsida; Fagales; Fagaceae. The transcript has 3 exons.
UCUCUUUCACUACCCGACUGCCUUCUCUUUCCCUUUCACGAAUACCUUUCCCUCUCACGAAUACCGGACCUUCCUCCCACCUUUCUACGAGCUCUUCUCUGCCUUUUCCUUAGCCCGAUCCUCUGCCUCUCCCUUUCCACGGCAACACCCAACAGGUGGAUUCUCUGCCAUUUCUUUCCCACGGCAAGACCCUUCCUCCCACCUUUCUACGCCACGGCAAGACCCAACAAUCCGACCCAACAGACUGAUCCUCUGCCUCUUCCUUUCCACGGCAAGACCAUUUCUUUUCCACAGCAAGACCCAACGAUUCGACCCAACAGACCGAUCCUCUGCCUCUCCCUUUCCACGGCAAGACACAACAGCCCGAUACCGAUCCAACCUAACAGACCGAUCCUCUGCCUCUUCCUUUCCACGGCAAGCCCAUGGCCACAGAUCCCACCAUACCCGUAUCCACUUCGAUCAAUUUCUAGCUGCAGCCAUAUAUAUAUUGGAACCUGGGUUACAGACUUACAGAGAUAGUGAGUUAUAGAUCUGGAUUUUUCUAUUUGCUUUGGGAAGGACAGCUGCAGCCAUAUAUAUAUUGGAACCUGGGUUACAGACUUACAGAGAUAGUGAGUUAUAGAUCUGGAUUUUUCUAUUUGCUUUGGGAAGGACAGGUUAGCGUGUUCAAGACCAUUUCAGUUUUUUUUUUUUCUUUGGCUAAAUAACUGCCCUUUGGUUAUGUGGUUGCUGUAUAUAUAUUUGUUUUCUAUUAACGAGUUUUAUGGUUGCUGUUUAUUAUGGUCUUUUUUUUUUGUUUUUGUUUUUUUACCCAGUAGAUACACAUUGCAUUAACAGUAAACACAAGGAACAUAUAUGGUACUUACACAGUAACUUCUCAACUAGAAUUGUGUUCUCCUUUGUUAAAUUAUUUAGUUGCACAAAACAUAUUGUAAUUGCAAACAUUGAGAUGAAUGUUCAGUAAGUUUGUGAUUAGCUUUUCUUCUUCUCUUUGUUAUGAAUUCAGUGAUAUGACAGCAUAGAGAGAACUAAUUUGUUAGGGCCUUUUGUU